Molecule: transfer RNA, 71 nt
Filed under: Pseudomassariella vexata
Lineage: Eukaryota; Fungi; Ascomycota; Sordariomycetes; Amphisphaeriales; Pseudomassariaceae
Rfam family: tRNA
About the family: Transfer RNA (tRNA) molecules are approximately 80 nucleotides in length. Their secondary structure includes four short double-helical elements and three loops (D, anti-codon, and T loops). Further hydrogen bonds mediate the characteristic L-shaped molecular structure. tRNAs have two regions of fundamental functional importance: the anti-codon, which is responsible for specific mRNA codon recognition, and the 3' end, to which the tRNAs corresponding amino acid is attached (by aminoacyl-tRNA synthetases). tRNAs cope with the degeneracy of the genetic code in two manners: having more than one tRNA (with a specific anti-codon) for a particular amino acid; and 'wobble' base-pairing, i.e. permitting non-standard base-pairing at the 3rd anti-codon position.
Source: Rfam by way of RNAcentral
GCAAUAGUGGUUUAGUGGUAAAAUCCAUCGUUGCCAUCGAUGGGCCCCGUGUUCGAUUCACGGCUAUUGCA